Molecule: transfer RNA, 70 nt
Filed under: Ameiurus melas (black bullhead)
Lineage: Eukaryota; Metazoa; Chordata; Actinopteri; Siluriformes; Ictaluridae
Description: tRNA-Gly
Rfam family: tRNA
About the family: Transfer RNA (tRNA) molecules are approximately 80 nucleotides in length. Their secondary structure includes four short double-helical elements and three loops (D, anti-codon, and T loops).
Source: RNAcentral
GCAUUGUGGUUCAGUGGUAGAAUUCUAGCUUGCCAUGUUGGAGACCUGGGUUCGAUUCCCAGCCAAUGCC